CGGAUUGCAGUCUGCAACUCGACUGCAUGAAGCUGGAAUCGCUAGUAAUCGCGAAUCAGAAUGUCGCGGUGAAUACGUUCCCGGGCCUUGUACACACCGCCCGUCACACCAUGGGAGUUGGAAGCACCCGAAGUCGGUGACCUGACCGAAAGGGAGGAGCCGCCGAAGGUGAAGCCAGCGACUGGGGUGAAGUCGUAACAAGGUAAC
This 207-nucleotide ribosomal RNA is filed under the name uncultured bacterium. Its description in RNAcentral is "partial 16S ribosomal RNA". It matches the Rfam family "Bacterial small subunit ribosomal RNA", at positions 1294 to 1500 of the family's 1533-position model. The record is from RNAcentral.